This 75-nucleotide transfer RNA is filed under the name Akkermansiaceae bacterium UBA1506. RNAcentral's name for it is "tRNA-Val(tac)". It matches the Rfam family "tRNA". Rfam says of the family: Transfer RNA (tRNA) molecules are approximately 80 nucleotides in length. Lineage: Bacteria; Pseudomonadati; Verrucomicrobiota; Verrucomicrobiia; Verrucomicrobiales; Akkermansiaceae. RNAcentral also lists the same sequence under 3 other names. The record is from RNAcentral.
GCGCGGGUAGCUCAGCGGUAGAGCAACUGGUUUACACCCAGUCGGUCGGCGGUUCAAUCCCGUCCCCGCGCACCA